UACGGAGGGUGCAAGCAUUAAUCGGAAUUACUGGGCGUAAAAGGCGCGUAGGCGGAUUUGUAAGUCAGAUGUGAAAUACCGGGGCUCAACUUCGGUGCUGCAUUUGAAACUACAAAUCUAGAGGGUAGACGGAGAAAACGGAAUUCCACGUGUAGCGGUGAAUGCGUGGAUAUGUGGAAGAACACCUGUGGCGAAAGCGGUUUUCUAGUUUAUUCCUGACGCUGAGGCGCGAGAGCAAGGGGAGCAAACAGG
RNAcentral lists this unclassified non-coding RNA (252 nucleotides) under uncultured Chlamydiales bacterium. Its description in RNAcentral is "contains 16S-23S intergenic spacer region". It matches the Rfam family "Bacterial small subunit ribosomal RNA", at positions 524 to 776 of the family's 1533-position model. Lineage: Bacteria; Pseudomonadati; Chlamydiota; Chlamydiia; Chlamydiales. The record is from RNAcentral.